Molecule: ribosomal RNA, 254 nt
Filed under: uncultured bacterium
Lineage: Bacteria
Description: partial 16S ribosomal RNA
Rfam family: Bacterial small subunit ribosomal RNA
Source: RNAcentral
UACGUAGGGUGCAAGCGUUAAUCGGAAUUACUGGGCGUAAAGCGUGCGCAGGCGGUUUUGUAAGUCAGAUGUGAAAUCCCCGGGCUUAACCUGGGAACUGCGUUUGAAACUACAAGGCUAGAGUGUGACAGAGGGGGGGUGGAAUUCCACGUGUAGCAGUGAAAUGCGUAGAGAUGUGGAGGAACACCGAUGGCGAAGGCAGCCCCCUGGGUUAACACUGACGCUCAGGCACGAAAGCGUGGGGAGCAAACAGG